RNAcentral lists this transfer RNA (59 nucleotides) under Mesocricetus auratus (golden hamster). It matches the Rfam family "tRNA", at positions 7 to 64 of the family's 71-position model. From Rfam's summary of the family: Transfer RNA (tRNA) molecules are approximately 80 nucleotides in length. Their secondary structure includes four short double-helical elements and three loops (D, anti-codon, and T loops). The record is from Rfam by way of RNAcentral. Lineage: Eukaryota; Metazoa; Chordata; Mammalia; Rodentia; Cricetidae.
AAGGCUGAACGGUAGAGCAUUUGUCUAGCAAGCAAGAGGUCCUGAGUUCAACUCCCAGU